This 113-nucleotide ribosomal RNA is filed under the name Panthera pardus (leopard). The record is from RNAcentral. Lineage: Eukaryota; Metazoa; Chordata; Mammalia; Carnivora; Felidae.
GACAUCUGGUGGAGACUGUUGAAGCCCCCUGGUCCCAGCGGACCCCGGAAGGCGGACACAUUCGCGGGUGCCGGAACAAGGUCGUUAUGGGUGAAGCCCAGUGCCAGAUGUGU